GUAGGUGAACCUGCGGAGGGAUCAUUAACACGUAGUGUGCAACCCAAGGCGAAAGCCAAGGGGGAACACACUCGAAUACAAUACCCCACAACCCAAUCCAACGUGAACGUGACCCAACGCGCGACACAGCAUGGACGAUCGAACAAUCAUCAGGGUGGAGGGCAGGCUCGGCUCGGAGACGAGACGAGACUGCACUAUGACUCGAUCUAGAGGCCCUUCGAGGCUUCAAUCCGCCUGUGACGUGACUGAU
RNAcentral lists this unclassified non-coding RNA (250 nucleotides) under plant metagenome. RNAcentral's name for it is "partial contains small subunit ribosomal RNA, internal transcribed spacer 1, and 5.8S ribosomal RNA". The record is from RNAcentral.